GAUCGCGGUGACGUGGGCGGUUCGCUGUCGGCAACGUCAUAAGAAGUCCACUGAACCAUAUCAUUUAAAGGAAGGAGAAGUCGUAACAAGGUUUCCGUAGGUGAACCUGCGGAAGGAUCAUUGUCGAU
Molecule: ribosomal RNA, 128 nt
Filed under: Julbernardia magnistipulata
Lineage: Eukaryota; Viridiplantae; Streptophyta; Magnoliopsida; Fabales; Fabaceae
Description: partial 18S ribosomal RNA
Rfam family: Eukaryotic small subunit ribosomal RNA
Source: RNAcentral